GCAGACACAUUCCAGCCAAUCAGCAGCAGACCCUCCCUCCCAGACCCUCCCACCUCCUGGACAGCUCACUAAGAAUGCAGCUUCACAAUGAAUGUAAAUGGAUGCUGUCCAGGAGGUGGGAGGGUCUGGGAGGGAGGGUCUGCUGCUGAUUGGCUGGAAUAUGUCUG
Molecule: microRNA precursor, 167 nt
Filed under: Pelobates cultripes (western spadefoot toad)
Lineage: Eukaryota; Metazoa; Chordata; Amphibia; Anura; Pelobatidae
Source: RNAcentral